RNAcentral lists this ribosomal RNA (165 nucleotides) under uncultured bacterium. RNAcentral's name for it is "partial 16S rRNA". It matches the Rfam family "Bacterial small subunit ribosomal RNA", at positions 355 to 511 of the family's 1533-position model. The record is from RNAcentral.
UAGGGAAUCUUCGGCAAUGGGGGCAACCCUGACCGAGCAACGCCGCGUGAGUGAAGAAGGUCUUCGGAUCGUAAAGCUCUGUUGUAAGAGAAGAACGUGUGUGAGAGUGGAAAGUUCACACAGUGACGGUAACUUACCAGAAAGGGACGGCUAACUACGUGCCAU